UGUGGUGCGUGUGGAGUAUGGGUUGGAAAGGUUCACUCUUUUCUAAGCUUUUCUAAGCUGUGGUGCGUGUGGAGUAUUAUUAGGAGUCCAUCCCACGUAGAUUAAUUUAGUGGAAGAUCGAUCAUGCGUGUAUAAGUGAGGAAUAUUAUUUCCGUUAGUACGAGGCAUUUUGUGGUAGCUCAAAGCAGUCAUACAAACUUAUGCUUAAAGUGGAUAAUAUCUUAUCAUUGUGAAGAUUCGUGAUUCCUAUCGGUACGAGCAAAAAGAGAGGGCAGCCGCCAUUAUUUUACUCUGCAAUUAGGGAUCUAACUCAGCUUUCUUCAUAUCUCUCAGUCAGCUGAACACAGCUCAAAGAAAAUUGGAAAUCCAUAAAGCCAGCUCACGUGGAAGCAUAUGAUCUUUUCGUUAAAGUAUAUUUCUCCGACAGUUUUUAUACGAUCUUUCCAAUUCAACUGUGGAUCAGGUAAAAAUUCAAACAUCUUAUCUGUUAAUUUUCAGUUAAACUAUGAAUUAGGUAUGAAAUCGAACGUUAUGAUAUUUUAGCUUUAGUUAAACUAUGAAUCAGGUAAAAAUUU
Molecule: long non-coding RNA, 575 nt
Organism: Cucurbita moschata (crookneck pumpkin)
Lineage: Eukaryota; Viridiplantae; Streptophyta; Magnoliopsida; Cucurbitales; Cucurbitaceae
Exons: 2
Source: RefSeq, a predicted model, not a curated record